RNAcentral lists this ribosomal RNA (497 nucleotides) under uncultured bacterium. RNAcentral describes it as "partial 16S ribosomal RNA". It matches the Rfam family "Bacterial small subunit ribosomal RNA", at positions 28 to 507 of the family's 1533-position model. The record is from RNAcentral.
GAUGAACGCUGGCGGCGUGCCUAAUACGUGCAAGUAGAACGCUGAAGGAAGGAGCUUGCUCUUUCCGGAUGAGUUGCGAACGGGUGAGUAACGCGUAGGUAACCUGCCUGGUAGCGGGGGAUAACUAUUGGAAACGAUAGCUAAUACCGCAUAACAGUAGAUGUUGCAUGAUAUCUACUUAAAAGGUGCCAUUGCACCACUACCAGAUGGACCUGCGUUGUAUUAGCUAGUUGGUGAGGUAACGGCUCACCAAGGCGACGAUACAUAGCCGACCUGAGAGGGUGAUCGGCCACACUGGGACUGAGACACGGCCCAGACUCCUACGGGAGGCAGCAGGAGGGAAUCUUCGGCAAUGGACGGAAGUCUGGCCGAGCAACGCCGCGUGAGUGAAGAAGGUUUUCGGAUCGUAAAGCUCUGUUGUAAGAGAAGAACGAGUGUGAGAGUGGAAAGUUCACACUGUGACGGUAUCUUACCAGAAAGGGACGGCUAACUACGUG